UACAGAGGGGGCGAGCGUUGUUCGGAAUUACUGGGCGUAAAGGGCGCGUAGGCGGCCCGCUAAGUCGAACGUGAAAUCCCCAGGCUCAACCUGGGAACUGCGUCCGAUACUGGCAGGCUUGAAUCCGGGAGAGGGAUGUGGAAUUCCAGGUGUAGCGGUGAAAUGCGUAGAUAUCUGGAGGAACACCGGUGGCGAAGGCGGCAUCCUGGACCGGUAUUGACGCUGAGGCGCGAAAGCCAGGGGAGCGAACGGG
This 253-nucleotide ribosomal RNA is filed under the name uncultured bacterium. Its description in RNAcentral is "partial 16S ribosomal RNA". It matches the Rfam family "Bacterial small subunit ribosomal RNA", at positions 524 to 776 of the family's 1533-position model. The record is from RNAcentral.